GUAGAAAACGCACGAUCUCUACAGGAACGAAAAACUGCCAUGGCGCACGACCUAAAAAGGAACGAUAUUAUGACGACGUGGGAGGUAUCCGUUAGUACAACAGGGAAGUGCAAGCCAGAGGCAAGAAGAACGAAAUCAAACGACAAAAGAUAAAAAAGAAAAAUAUCGACCCUAAUAGGUGAACCUAGCAGGAGUCUAUUGAGAAGUUUAUGAUCGUCGGAUAGUUUUGGUUUCAUAAAUAAGGAACAAGAAGAAGAAUAGAACCACAGAAGCAGUCUCAUGUGUUUCAAUCGAUCUCUCUCCCCAUGCAUUCAAAAAUUUCAAAUUUAACCAAAACGAGGCUGUAAUUUCAGUAUAUGGUGGGAGGAUGGUUUUUCAUUUCGUAUUGUCCCGUUUCCAUGAGUGGAGUUAAGGAAAUACUGACAACUUGAGAUAGGGACACAAUUCUUUAAACCAAAUAUCUCCUCAUGCAAUUUUGGAGACUGAAUCCUUCAUGAAAAGUGCAGCCUGAUUUGAACUUGACAUUUGUUCUGAGAAAGAAAUGGCAAAUGUAGAGGAUGAACUUUGUAGAGUUAGACUUUAUAAAUAAUUGCUGGUCAUCACCUUCAAUCACACAUCAGAACAUACGGUUCAAUGCAAUCUGCAUAAGUUUUCUGUACAUCUUUCAUAUGCAACUUUUUUGAUUUCAACCAUGAACAUGCAUGAAUGUGUCAUAUAAAUGCUCAAAUUCUCAAAUUUAAGGGUCUGUAUCAAGAUUUUGUUACUCGGGUAGUCUGGUGAGGAAUCUACUUUCAGGUCGCUGAGUAUAAUUCUAUGAUUUAAAUACCGCAAUAUGUGCCCAUUAAUUAUAAACAAAUUAAAUCUUAAAAGUAAUCAAUACACGGGUAUUAUCACAAAGGAAUAGAUGGUUAUACUUGGUCUUAGCC
This is a long non-coding RNA of Rosa chinensis, 926 nucleotides long. RefSeq lists it as uncharacterized. The record is from RefSeq and is a predicted model, not a curated record. NCBI's taxonomy places the organism in Eukaryota, Viridiplantae, Streptophyta, Magnoliopsida, Rosales, Rosaceae. The transcript is spliced from 6 exons.